RNAcentral lists this ribosomal RNA (253 nucleotides) under uncultured bacterium. Its description in RNAcentral is "partial 16S ribosomal RNA". It matches the Rfam family "Bacterial small subunit ribosomal RNA", at positions 524 to 776 of the family's 1533-position model. The record is from RNAcentral.
UACGGAGGGUGCAAGCGUUAUCCGGAUUCACUGGGUUUAAAGGGUGCGUAGGCGGCCUUAUAAGUCAGUGCUGAAAUAUCCCGGCUUAACCGGGAGGGUGGCAUUGAUACUGUAGGGCUUGAGUAAAGUUGAGGUAGGCGGAAUUGACGGUGUAGCGGUGAAAUGCUUAGAUAUCGUCAAGAACACCGAUAGUGUAGACAGCUUACUAAGCUUUAACUGACGCUGAGGCACGAAAGUGUGGGGAUCAAACAGG